AACGAACGCUGGCGGCAGGCUUAACACAUGCAAGUCGAGCGCUCACUUCGGUGGGAGCGGCGGACGGGUUAGUAACGCGUGGGAACGUGCCCUUCUCUAAGGAAUAGCCACUGGAAACGGUGAGUAAUACCUUAUACGCCCUUCGGGGGAAAGAUUUAUCGGAGAAGGAUCGGCCCGCGUUAGAUUAGAUAGUUGGUGGGGUAACGGCCUACCAAGUCUACGAUCUAUAGCUGGUUUUAGAGGAUGAUCAGCAACACUGGGACUGAGACACGGCCCAGACUCCUACGGGAGGCAGCAGUGGGGAAUCUUAGACAAUGGGGCGCAAGCCUGAUCUAGCCAUGCCGCGUGAGUGAUGAAGGUCUUAGGAUCGUAAAGCUCUUUCGCCAGAGAUGAUAAUGACAGUAUCUGGUAAAGAAACCCCGGCUAACUCCGUGCCAGCAGCCGCGGUAAUU
RNAcentral lists this ribosomal RNA (452 nucleotides) under uncultured bacterium. RNAcentral describes it as "bacterial SSU rRNA". It matches the Rfam family "Bacterial small subunit ribosomal RNA", at positions 29 to 525 of the family's 1533-position model. The record is from RNAcentral.